Molecule: ribosomal RNA, 384 nt
Filed under: uncultured bacterium
Lineage: Bacteria
Description: bacterial SSU rRNA
Rfam family: Bacterial small subunit ribosomal RNA
Source: RNAcentral
AGCGAACGUUUGCGGCGGGCCUAACACACGCAAGUCGAACGGGCUAGCAAUAGUCAGUGGCGCACGGGUGCGUAACACGUGGGUAAUCAACCCUUCAGCUCGGGAUAACGCCUUGAAAGGGGCGCUAAUACCGGAUGCGACGCGAGGAGCCUCGGCGCUUCGCGGGAAAGAUUCGCAAGGAUCACUGAAGGACGAGCCUGCGGCCCAUCAGCUAGUUGGUGAGGUAAGAGCUCACCAAGGCGAAGACGGGUAGCUGGUCUGAGAGGAUGAUCAGCCACACUGGAACUGAGACACGGUCCAGACUCCUACGGGAGGCAGCAGUGGGGAAUAUUGCGCAAUGGGCGAAAGCCUGACGCAGCCACGCCGCGUGAGCGAUGAAGGCCU